Molecule: long non-coding RNA, 374 nt
Filed under: Androctonus crassicauda
Lineage: Eukaryota; Metazoa; Arthropoda; Arachnida; Scorpiones; Buthidae
Source: RNAcentral
CUUCAAGAAAAAGUUAAUAAUAGAGUGCAUUUUUUGGAUAUAGGUCUACAAAUUGAAAAUAACAGCAUGACAACCACAGUAUUCCGAAGGCAAUCCUACGAACCGGACAUUGUACCGAGGUGGUCGCUAGACUCCUUUUCAUAUUAUAUUCCAUGUCUAUUUCCGAAGAGCCAUCCUGUGCAUUAAUAGCCAGGAGGAGCUGGGGAGGGAACUCAAUUGUAUCUUUGAGGCGGGAUGGCUGCAUGGUUGUUCUGGGCACGUGUUGGAAAGCUUACUUCGGAGGACUGGGCAAUCGAUCGGCAACGCCAAUGGCCUGCAUGAUCAUGAAGAGGAGUAUGAGACGAUACCGUGCGCCAUGGGGGGCUCUGGCCUUG